GAAUGGAUGUGCUGCUUGUGAUGGAACCAAAUGGCUUGAAGUAUAUUGGAAAAGGAUAUUUUGUCUUCUUGGCAUGUUGGCAAAGUGGAUCAAUCUUUUGAAUUCAUGAAAAUUGGCUCUAAUAUUCUACUAUUUUGUGUUCGUAAGAUGUUCGAUAUAUGGUCUGAUGAUGGUGGUCUGUCACUCUUGAAUGCUAUUAUUGCUGCUGGUUAUCUGCUUUGUUGAUGGAAAUUUCACUGCCCUUAUUUGCUGCUGGAUGCAUAAUGAUUUCAUACACUGGAAAUUGCACAUCACAAAGUUUUGCAUUAUGUUGGGUGGUUUGAGGACAUACGGUGAGACCUUAAAAUUGGUGAUAGGAAAACCUUGUUCCCCACCUUCAGGUGUGCCUGUCAAUUGAGGUGUAGAGGCUGUCUUACAAGCUGUAUGUCCUAUGUUCUGGUAAAGAAAGAUUUAAACGUGUGAGUAAAUCGGGUAAUGUUUGUUUCCAUCAAGUAUAUUAUGAAGUGAGCUAUUUUAGUGUUUCCAGUAUUAAUAUUUUUAACGUUUUGGCAGGCGCCGUAAUUGGCCUUUUGGAUACAUAGUGGAUCUGUUUGCUAAUUGGGGUAGGCUUUUAACAUAAUAAAAUUGAGAAAGCAUUUUGGACAGCAACAAGCCCUCUGGAAGUUAUCGCACUGUUAGUUACUCAUAGCUUCUGCAAGGUGAACUAAGGGAGGAUUAUGCCCAGUUUAAAAUCCUGGCAGUUAUUUAGAUACUCUUGGGGAGUCAGCAACUUUUGUCCACGAUCUUGUUCUGGUCCUCUCUUUGAUUUACUCUCUUUGGGACAAGAGCUUCCUUUCUGUUCUUCUAGUCUCCUGGCUUUUGUUGCUGAGACAUAUUUCAGUGGUCAAUAUGUGUACGAAGUUGCAGUGUUUUUCCUCUUUCAGUUCGUGGUUCUUGGUAACUGUGCCUUGCAAUCUCAAGGAUGGAUCAACCUUUCAUAAACUCUGUUUGAGACUGCGGCAUUUUCGAGUUAAAUGACUUGUCCCAGCAAUGUCAACUUGUGUUGUUGGGUGAUGAGAGUUCUCUGUCUGUGUAUCUUUUUUGUUUUUCCCAUUGGUCUAUCUUUUAUUAUUUUUCAUGUUAAUCUUUUAGACAAUGGGGGAACGGGAGUUUGGGCAAAUUUUUUUUCUUCGCGGUCCUGCUAAUGGUUGAUGCUUUACUGCUCAGAUGGCUUUGGACCUGGUGCUUGCUUAUACUUUUUGUGCUUUCCGCUAUUAGUAACUUCGUUUGUCUAGCGCAGAUAUCUGCUUGUUUAUUAUCGCUGCUGGAGUGGCUAUUGAUUUCUCUCCUCUUUUUAAUGAUGAUUCUUGGGUUCACUUUCCUGCAAAGGUUCGAUUGGAAGGACAGAGUCCCAAGUAUUUACGUAGUUUUUUGGUAUGUCAUGGCGGGUUUGGUGAGGUUUUGAUAUGUCAACUGUAGAUGAAAUUAGACUUUCAUGGAUAUAAUGCCAACAGCAAGGGCGAUUAGAUUGUGUAAUCAAAUAAUCAUUGUUGCUCCUUGUAUGUAAUUGUUCUGUGCUUGAAUAAAUGUUCUAAGUCAUUUUUUGUUGGUAAUCAUAAGAACAAUUGUAUGUUCUCCUCGCUUGCCUGCCACUAUUCUCUAAGCCCACUUAACUCCAUCCUUACCUUAUGUUCUGCAGAAAUUUUAGUUUGCAGUUUUUCUGUCUCUUCAAUGUUUUUAUGAUUGACGGUUUUGCACAAAUUGCAUUUCUUCCCGGAAAGUGGUACCUAUUGUUUGCCCGUUUGCUGUAGAAGAUAC
RNAcentral lists this long non-coding RNA (1797 nucleotides) under Coffea arabica (coffee). RNAcentral's name for it is "long non-coding RNA (CARA_LNC001666)". The record is from RNAcentral. Lineage: Eukaryota; Viridiplantae; Streptophyta; Magnoliopsida; Gentianales; Rubiaceae.